CUGUUCGAGCGUCAUUUAAACCAAUCCAGCUUGCUGGGUCUUGGGCUUCGCCUCUGGGCGGGCCUUAAAAUCAGUGGCGGUGCCACUCGGCUCUAAGCGUAGUAAUUCUUCUCGCUAUAGGUCCCGGGUGGAGGCUUGCCAACAACCCCUAAUUCUUAAAGGUUGACCUCGGAUCAGGUAGGGAUACCCGCUGAACUUAA
RNAcentral lists this unclassified non-coding RNA (200 nucleotides) under soil metagenome. Its description in RNAcentral is "partial contains internal transcribed spacer 2 and large subunit ribosomal RNA". The record is from RNAcentral.